AUGGCUCGUUCUAUAUGGUCAGUCAUCCAGAUAGCUUCUGGCUUGUAUCCUCCUUGUAGUGUUGCUAAUGUAUUUGGCAACUGGUUACAUGGGAUUGAUCACAGGUUUAGAACUCUUCUUAGGGUGGAAGCGCUUGCCGUUAUUUGGUCACUUUGGCUAUGUAGGAAUGAUAAGGUUUUUAAUGAUAAAAGUACUUCUCUAAUGCAGGUUAUCUACAGAUGUACUGGGAUUCUUUGUUUAUGGUCCUCUCUACAACGCGUGAAAAAUUGA
Molecule: ribosomal RNA, 270 nt
Filed under: Triticum aestivum (bread wheat)
Lineage: Eukaryota; Viridiplantae; Streptophyta; Magnoliopsida; Poales; Poaceae
Description: partial small subunit ribosomal RNA
Source: RNAcentral